Calycina marina is the source of this 101-nucleotide non-coding RNA. Lineage: Eukaryota; Fungi; Ascomycota; Leotiomycetes; Helotiales; Pezizellaceae. The record is from the annotation of a GenBank genome assembly.
GCCUUCAUGGCGCAGUGGUAACGCGUCGCACUUGUAUCUUCAAGAGUGUACAACCACUCUUCGCAAUGCGAAGAUCCCUAGUUCAAUUCUGGGUGAAGGCA